AGCAGUCGCCGCGGUAAUACGAAGGGCGCAAGCGUUACUCGGAAUUACUGGGCGUAAAGCGUGCGUAGGUGGUGGUUUAAGUCCGUUGUGAAAGCCCUGGGCUCAACCUGGGAAUUGCAGUGGAUACUGGGUCACUAGAGUGUGGUAGAGGAUAGUGGAAUUUCCGGUGUAGCAGUGAAAUGCGUAGAGAUCGGAAGGAACAUCUGUGGCGAAGGCGACUAUCUGGGCCAACACUGACACUGAGGCACGAAAGCGUGGGGAGCAAACAGGAUUAGAUACCCCAGUAGUCCCUGUCUCUUAUAC
This 303-nucleotide ribosomal RNA is filed under the name uncultured bacterium. RNAcentral describes it as "partial 16S ribosomal RNA". It matches the Rfam family "Bacterial small subunit ribosomal RNA", at positions 507 to 807 of the family's 1533-position model. The record is from RNAcentral.